AUGAAGCCAACCAUUCCAGGUGGCCAGAAUCGGCAGAAUAGGGAAGCAGGUGUGAGUCCUGCACUCGGCAAGAGAGCUGUAAACGGGGAUGAACCUACCAUCCGCCACAGGCGGAACGUCACUGCAUCUGAAGGUGUGGGAAGGCGGUAGAAGUAAGAUGAUCCGUGAGUCAGAAGACCUGCCUGGGAAAACGGAGAGCA
Molecule: non-coding RNA, 200 nt
Filed under: Sediminispirochaeta smaragdinae
Lineage: Bacteria; Pseudomonadati; Spirochaetota; Spirochaetia; Spirochaetales; Spirochaetaceae
Also listed under: 1 other name
Source: RNAcentral